CGACUCUGGUUUCUCUUCAUUACACACAAGCCUUUUGCCUUUUACUAAAGACUUCCGUGGAGAGAAACACUUAUGAGUUCAAUGUAUUUUUGAAGGGGCUUUGCUUCUGGCAGAGCC
Hucho hucho (huchen) is the source of this 117-nucleotide small nuclear RNA. Its record names the gene U5. It matches the Rfam family "U5 spliceosomal RNA". Rfam says of the family: U5 RNA is a component of both types of known spliceosome. The precise function of this molecule is unknown, though it is known that the 5' loop is required for splice site selection and p220 binding, and that both the 3' stem-loop and the Sm site are important for Sm protein binding and cap methylation. The record is from Ensembl. NCBI's taxonomy places the organism in Eukaryota, Metazoa, Chordata, Actinopteri, Salmoniformes, Salmonidae.